RNAcentral lists this ribosomal RNA (389 nucleotides) under uncultured bacterium. RNAcentral's name for it is "bacterial SSU rRNA". It matches the Rfam family "Bacterial small subunit ribosomal RNA", at positions 29 to 419 of the family's 1533-position model. The record is from RNAcentral.
AUUGAACGCUGGCGGCAUGCCUUACACAUGCAAGUCGAACGGUAACGCGGGGGCAACCCUGGCGACGAGUGGCGAACGGGUGAGUAAUACAUCGGAACGUACCCAGUAGUGGGGGAUAGCUCGGCGAAAGCCGGAUUAAUACCGCAUACGACCUAUGGGUGAAAGCGGGGGAUCGCAAGACCUCGCGCUAUUGGAGCGGCCGAUGUCGGAUUAGCUAGUUGGUGAGGUAAAGGCUCACCAAGGCUACGAUCCGUAGCUGGUCUGAGAGGACGACCAGCCACACUGGGACUGAGACACGGCCCAGACUCCUACGGGAGGCAGCAGUGGGGAAUUUUGGACAAUGGGCGCAAGCCUGAUCCAGCCAUGCCGCGUGUGUGAGGAAGGCCUGG